UUGGAAUUGGCAGGCAGGAAGGAAAAAGUGGGAGGACUGGGGCAUUACAGGGAGACGUAAGGGAAGUGGCAGGGGAGGGAGGAGAAUAGGAGGAAGGAGAAAGAGAAGAGAGGAGAGAAACCUCAGAGUCACAGCACAGUAGGAGGAUUGAAGUGCUGGUGGGAGAGGAUGUGCUGAGAAGGAGAUGGAGCAGGCGAGGAGAUGGGCUGGGGAGACAGAUGGGCACUCCUGAGCCCUCUGUCUCUGCUCUGAAGGGGCCACAGCCUCCAGGCUGCCAGACUCCCUGGCAAGGCUUCUCCCUCCUCCUCCUCUCUUGCAUGAGUCCUGUGAAGGAUGGAGCAACAGUCUUCCUGGGGAGAGGAAGUGAGCUGUUCUGUCACACUGCCCCGUAUGUGGCCCUGGCACAUCAUGUGGUUCCAGAGACAGCCAGCUCCGGACCAGCUACUGAAGAAGGAAAAGCAGAGGGAUCCUGGUGUGGAGAUGGGCACUUAAUCUAACUUUAUCCCACUCUUUCUUCUCCUUCAGCCCUAACCAGAUUUACCAAAUGAGCUUUCCUCAGAUCUCCAAAGAAGACACUUGGGGUUACAACAGUUGAGUGUUAAAGAAAGUAUGCAUUUAGCAAGUGGCCGAAGACAUUUGCUGAGAUGCUUGUCCUCUGACCCCCUGCAGCUUGACUGAUGUAAUGGGAGAGAUAUGUUGGCUAUAUUUAUGCAGUCAAGCCUCCGAAGAGAUGGAGUUUAUCUGGACAUCACUGGAAAACAAAUUUUGUUGUGAAACCUCUGAAGAUGUGUUUUCUCGAGAGCAUCUGAAAGGAGGAGUUUACAGAGCCAUCCUUCUAAGGGUCUGUGAUUCCAUUGCCUUUUUGGUGGUGCUCCUAAUUCCUUCAUGACCCAGCUGAUACAACUGUGAACUAGGAAGUAGGAUUCAACCAAGACUCCAACUUGCAGGCCCCUUGAUCAGUGCUCUGCCUCUGUGAAACUGAGUCUCUGCCUGGCUUUAAAGUCCUUGCUGUUUCAUGUAUACACUUUUCUCACAUGGAAGGAAGAGUUCAAUUGCCAAGCUGGAAAGAGGUGGUGAUGCUCAGUGGAGAGUGCCUGGUUUCUAGCCCCAACCACGUGACUUCAGCAGGUGCUCCCCCCCAUCCCAUCCCCAAGCAAAGAUCUGGGUUCCAGCUCCAACACUGCCACCAGAUGGCCAACUGUUCUUAGGCCAGUGGUCUAACCUCUCUGCGCUUCAGCUUCAUCAUCCCUUGUUAGAUGUGCUCUGCCUACCUCACGGGACUGGACUGCUGAGUGGAACAAAUGAGGGUUAUGAGACACAGCUCUUUCACUGGGGUGGACAUACCAUGAAAAGGUGGUGGAGGCAACUUGUGUUAAUAAGGUCCGGCUCCAGUUUCAGACUCUAACCUGUGACUUGAGAGCCCAUGAGGUGUGUUCUCCUACCACAUAGUGGAUUUGUUAGGAAGUGGCUGCCAGUCAUGGACUAACCCAAGGCCUUUUUUAUCAAGGCUCGUUUACUGUGAUGAAACAGCUGCUGUGUUGUGAACUGCCCCAAGGAAAGGAGGGCAAUGGAACUGAGGGAGACCUCCACCAGCAGGCUUAGAGGACCUGAAUCCUGCCAACACCCACUGGAGUGACCUUGAAAGUGGAUUCUCUCCAAGUUAAGCCUUGAGAUGGUUCAAACACCUUGACUGCAGCCUUAUGAGAAGUCCUGAGUCAGAGGAUCCAGUUCAGCCACUGCCCACAGACUCCUGACUCACACUGCACUUGGGAGAGAAAUAAGUUCGGGUGGAAUCUGAAGAUCUUUUCAUUGCCCUUCAUGCUGUAUCAUAUAAGCAAAGCUUCCAAGUCACACAGUGAGACCCAGGAGGCAGGAGCCAAUAAAAUCUUAAAAACACCAAGGACCAGGCCCACACAUUCCAAAUGCUUCUUAGGACUCUUUGCCCCUCAUGGCCUUGCCGUGUGACCUGCUGCCAACACCACAGAGUAGCUGUCCUGGGAGCAACACUCACAAAGAAGCAUGGCAUUGUUUUAGUCCAUGGUGUUGGAGAGAAGAAAAAAGUGAAAUUGACAAGAAAAAUAAUCAAUACAUAAAAUUAAUGUCAAAUUUUUUAAAUGCCCUUAUUUCUAUGGUAUUAACCUACACUUUGAUUCCCUUUCACUUGCAUUGUUUGUCCUGAGCUUAAAAUGCAUGUAUGGACUAAUGUGCAAGGUACCUCACCAGAAAUAGCAGAUUCCCAUCUCACUUAUGCAUGGUAUGAACUAAUACAAUGAUUUAGUGUGUGGUAUGUAAAAUUAAGCAGUAAGAAGCUUUGAAACCAGAAGGGCAUGCACUGUUUUGAUGACUGCAAAUAAUGCCCUUUGAUUUCUUUUUUUUUUUUUUAAUGUACUUGUUUUCAUUAUCACUGCAUAUUGGAUUGUUAAGUUUUCAGACCCUGGACUACAUAUUUUAUGGGCACUGUCCCUUUUAACUUUAAUACAUACAGCAAUUCUGACAGCGGGUGCUUUGCUUCCAUUUUAGAGAUCAGAAAAUUAAGGCUUAUAGGAGUCAAGUUGCCAAAGUCACAAAGUUGACACAUGGCGGACCUGGGAUUCAAACCCAGUCUUUUCUGAGUUCAAGCUCGCAGCUAAACCCAAGCACUGUUUUGCCUACCAUGGAGGGUUAAACCAGCAGCCGAGGACAUCUCUUACACAUGUAUCCAGUCUUCUGUCAAAGGGGCAUGUGACCAGACCUGUCCCUACCCUUUGUAUGAGCACCCCCCACCCCCAGUCCUAAAAUGUUCUGCUUAACUGAGGUUUGAGUUACUGAAUGGGCAAACAGAUAAACCAGGAGGUAAUUAUUUAUAUAACCAGCAAAAUAAUCUUUCAAAAUAGAAUAUCAUUAGUCCUUUGAGUAGUUUAUUGAUGACUCAUGAUUCUUAAAAUCUCUGAUAGGAAAGGAAUUUAGAAGUUCAUCUGAUGCAAACUUCCUUGACUACUGAAUUGAGAUGCCAUGAAACUUAAACUAAAAGAGUCUAUUGGAGUGAAAUUGUGGAUAAUCAUGGAUAUCAUCUCUAAGAUGAUAAUGUGCAUGUGAAUAGGAAGGAAGAGUUCACUGGGCUCAAUCUGAUUAUUUGUUUUUCAAGUAUUUUUAUAUCCAAUUUUGGGAAUAAAUAAUUUUAUCCAAAUCUUCCUCUCCCUCCUUUCCAUAAUCCAAAUUCUGUCCAUUCUUCAAGUCCUAAAUUAAUUGUAAGUUUUUUCAUGGAAAUUCCUCAAUGGUGGGACAGCUAUUUUUCCUUCUGGACUUCCAUUUUUCUCAGUCUUGUUUAUGUCACUUAGUGUUUGAUUUUCAGACUGCAUUCUAAUAGUUUCAUCAUUCUAACUGAUUGUGUGAAGGACACAGAAAGUGUAUAUUCAGUUUCUUGCUUCCCCAGAAGCCCCUCACUUAGGGAUUGACUUUGUAGCAGGUGCUUUCAGGGCCCCGCCCUACUCUUUGGACCCUUCAGUGGGCUCCAGCUAACUUAAAAAUGUCAGUAUCUGCCUUUGUGUGCCUGAAGGCUCCCCUUCCUUCACCCUCAGUAGGGGAAAGCUUGCUCUUUGUAUAUAUGGCAGGCCAGAGUUUCAAAGAGUUACCACCCUCUAGCAACAGCCCUCAAACUAAUGAAGCUCUUAAGUUGGUAUAUAAAUACCCCAGCUCCCUCACUCCUUGAAGUGGUUCUGAAUCAUGUGCUUUGCACCAUUUCCCAGAGUUUUCUUGAGAGUUAGGCUCCAGCGGUCCAUAGCAGUAGCUGGCUAAAAAAAGUCAUGUACCCUUUAUUUAUUGCUUUAUUUAUUGCAUUUUCUCCUUGUGUUACUUGCAGUGCCCAAGUAGAUAGUUUACACUCACAUCAGGAUCUGCUUCUGGGGAACUCAAACCAAGACAGGUAUAGAGGAUAUUGUCAAUAUUGACUUAUUGGUUGGAUGAUUAGCUGACUGUCAGUGUUUUCCCUUGCAGGUACAGGGAUUGUGCGUUUUUUUUCGGAAGCCAUGGUGCUUUUCUGCCCAGUGGUACUCAUUCAUUCCUAGUUGAAUGGAACAAUGAUGAGGGCAAGGAUUCCCACCCCAGGUUCAUCUAGCUCUGUUCACUACUCUGUAUUUGUGAUCUAUUACUGACUUCGGUAAGUAGCAAAGAGCCCAGGGGAAUUAUGUCAAACCUCUAUUCCCUCUCUCCCAUCCCUGCUGCUACCAGCUGCAUGCAAUUCUCAUGUUUUAUUGUCUUUACAUUGAUUACCUUCUGACAAGGCCAGGAAGAAAUGCUGACCCUUGGUUACAACUAAGCAAAGGCCCCUUCCCUUUGGAAACACAAAAAAGAAUGAGAAAAUGAACAACAGAAAGAUGUUUCCUAACAGGGCCAUGUCAAAUUUAUAGAUAAAUAAAAUAUCAAAGAUCAAAUGAGGCUAGAUCAGCAGUUUGGAUCUCUCCCCAACCAAGCAGAGAAUAUGCUGUCGACUCUGUCUUGGACUGAUUUCCAACUUUGUGAUUCACAGCUGUAGCCAGGCAGAGUACGUCCAAUAAUGCUAUUUGUUUUCCACUUAAAAAAAAAAAAAAAGGCUGGGGAAAUAUAUAAA
Molecule: long non-coding RNA, 4585 nt
Organism: Leopardus geoffroyi (Geoffroy's cat)
Lineage: Eukaryota; Metazoa; Chordata; Mammalia; Carnivora; Felidae
Exons: 10
Source: RefSeq, a predicted model, not a curated record